This 1480-nucleotide ribosomal RNA is filed under the name uncultured prokaryote. RNAcentral's name for it is "partial 16S ribosomal RNA". It matches the Rfam family "Bacterial small subunit ribosomal RNA". The record is from RNAcentral.
CGGAGAGUUUGAUCCUGGCUCAGAUUGAACGCUGGCGGCAUGGCUAAAACAUGCAAGUCGAACGAGAACUGGCUUCGGCCAGGGACAGUGGCGCAAGGGCGAGUAAUGCGUUUCUAACGUGCCCCCCGGUUUGGGAUAGCUCGGAGAAAUCCGUGGUAAUACCUUAUAACCCCAGUUGAUCUAAUGAUUGGCUGGGCAAAGAUUUAUUGCCUGGGGAUCGGGAAACGUGCUAUCAGAUAGUUGGUAAGGUAAUGGCUUACCAAGUCUAAGACGGCUAGCGGGUGUGAGAGCACGACCCGCCGCAUCGGGACUGAGACACUGCCCGGACUCCUACGGGAGGCUGCAGUAACGAAUAUUCCGCAAUGCGCGAAAGCGUGACGGAGCAAUGCCGCGUGUGGGAUUAAGCACUUCGUGUGUAAACCACUGUCAGGGUUUAGGAAACAAGUGACCAGACCCAAAGGAAGAGCCGGCUAACUCUGUGCCAGCAGCCGCGGUAAUACAGAGGGCUCAAGCGUUAAUCGGAAUCACUGGGCUUAAAGGGUCCGCAGGCGGAUCGGUAAGUAUCUUGUGAAAUACCAUAGCUCAACUAUGGAAUUGCUCGGUAAACUGCCAAUCUUGAACACAGUAGGGGCCAUCGGAACUCUAGGUGGAGCGGUGAAAUGCGUAGAUAUCUAGAGGAACGCCAAAGGCGAAGGCAGAUGGAUGGGCUGUUGUUGACGCCUCAGGCACGAAAGCAUGGGUAGCGAACGGGAUUAGAUACCCCCGGUAGUCCAUGCCCUAAACGAUGCGUACUAGGUGCGGGGAGGUUCUGACACCAUCCGCGCCGAAGCAAAAGUAUUAAGUACACCGCCUGGGGAGUACGGUCGCAAGGCUAAAACUCAAAGGAAUUGACGGGGGCUCACACAAGCGGUGGAGCAUGUUGCUUAAUUCGAGGCAACGCGAAGAACCUUAUCCUAGGCUUGACAUGUAUGGAUUAGCAUAUGGAAAGGGAAGUAACGCGGCUUGCCGUGGAACAUACACAGGUGCUGCAUGGCUGUCGUCAGCUCGUGCUGUGAAGUGUCGGGUUAAGUCCCUUAACGAGCGAAACCCCUAUCGUUAGUUGCCAGCGAGUCAUGUCGGGGACUCUAACGAGACUGCCGGUGUCAAACCGGAGGAAGGUGGGGAUGACGUCAAGUCCUCAUGGCCUUUAUGCCCAGGGCUGCACACGUGCUACAAUGGCGUGGACAAAGCGACGCGAUACCGCAAGGUGGAGCAAAUCGCAAAAAUCACGCCCCAGUUCGGAUUGUGGUCUGCAACUCGACCACAUGAAGUUGGAAUCGCUAGUAAUCGCGUAUCAGCUACGACGCGGUGAAUACGUUCCUGAGCCUUGUACACACCGCCCGUCACGUCAUGGGAGCUGGUAGCACCCGAAGCCGUCCGAUCUCACUGGUGCCUACGGUAAGCUCGGUGACUGGGACUAAGUCGUAACAAGGUAGCCGUA